This 119-nucleotide ribosomal RNA is filed under the name Scleropages formosus (Asian bonytongue). Lineage: Eukaryota; Metazoa; Chordata; Actinopteri; Osteoglossiformes; Osteoglossidae. The record is from RNAcentral.
GCUUACGGCCAUACCACCCUGAAUACGCCCGAUCUCGUCUGAUCUCGGAAGCUAAGCAGGGUCGGGCCCGGUUAGUACUUGGAUGGGAGACCGCCUGGGAAUACCGGGUGCUGUAAGCU